GGCCUCUGCAGUUGCUCUCUCAACUGCAGCUCGCUCCGCCUUCAGUUUGGCUUCCAUAGAUGCCUUCUCUGCUGCUGACUUAGCAUUAGCUUCUGCACAAGCCUUCUCUAACCUUUCUCGGGCCUCUGCCAUUACCCUUUGAUGAGCUUCUGCAGUUGCUCUUUCUGCAGCAGCCCUUUCUGCCCUUUCUCUGGCUUCAGCAAAAGCCCUUUCACGA
Molecule: unclassified non-coding RNA, 217 nt
Filed under: Hevea brasiliensis (rubber tree)
Lineage: Eukaryota; Viridiplantae; Streptophyta; Magnoliopsida; Malpighiales; Euphorbiaceae
Source: RNAcentral